Molecule: ribosomal RNA, 1395 nt
Filed under: metagenome
Description: bacterial LSU rRNA
Rfam family: Bacterial large subunit ribosomal RNA
Source: RNAcentral
UCCGGCUCCUAAGGCGAGGCCGAAAGGCGUAGUCGAUGGGAACGGGGUUAAUAUUCCCCGGCCAGCGGAUGGUGACGAAUCCCGUGUAUUGUCAGGUCUUAACGGAUUGAUCUGGCAGUGAAGGGGUUCCAGGAAACAGCCCCGCGCAAGACCGUACCCGAAACCGACACAGGUGGACUGGUAGAGUAUACCAAGGCGCUUGAGAGAACUCUGCUGAAGGAACUCGGCAAAUUGCCUCCGUAACUUCGGGAUAAGGAGGCCCCGGUUGUGGGCAACCAUGAUCGGGGGGCACAAGCCAGGGGUGGCGACUGUUUAACAAAAACACAGGGCUCUGCGAAGUCAUGAAGACGACGUAUAGGGUCUGACGCCUGCCCGGUGCCGGAAGGUUAAGAGGAGAGGUGCAAGCUUUGAAUCGAAGCCCCGGUAAACGGCGGCCGUAACGAUAACGGUCCUAAGGUAGCGAAAUUCCUUGUCGGGUAAGUUCCGACCUGCACGGGCGUAACGACUUCCCCGCUGUCUCCAGCAGAGACUCAGUGAAAUUGAAUUCCCCGUGAAGAUGCGGGGUUCCUGCGGUUAGACGGAAAGACCCCGUGCACCUUUACUGCAACUUUGCGCUGGCAUUCGUGUCGGCAUGUGUAGGAUAGGUGGUAGGCAUUGAAGCGGGGGCGCCAGCCUUCGUGGAGCCAACCUUGAAAUACCACCCUUAUCGUCAUGGAUGUCUAACUGCGGUUCGACAGGAUCCAGGACAGCGCAUGGUGGGCAGUUUGACUGGGGCGGUCGCCUCCCAAAGAGUAACGGAGGCGCGCGAUGGUGGGCUCAGAGCGGUCGGAAAUCGCUCGUCGAGUGCAAUGGCAUAAGCCUGCCUGACUGCGAGACAGACAAGUCGAGCAGAGACGAAAGUCGGCCAUAGUGAUCCGGUGGUCCCGCGUGGAAGGGCCAUCGCUCAACGGAUAAAAGGUACGCCGGGGAUAACAGGCUGAUCUUCCCCAAGAGUCCAUAUCGACGGGAAGGUUUGGCACCUCGAUGUCGACUCAUCACAUCCUGGGGCUGGAGCAGGUCCCAAGGGUUCGGCUGUUCGCCGAUUAAAGUGGUACGUGAGUUGGGUUCAGAACGUCGUGAGACAGUUCGGUCCCUAUCUGCCGUGGGUGUUCGAGACUUGAGACGAUCUGUCCUUAGUACGAGAGGACCGGGAUGGACGCACCACUGGUGGACCUGUUGUCCUGCCAAGGGCAGUGCAGGGUAGCUAUGUGCGGACGGGAUAACCGCUGAAGGCAUCUAAGCGGGAAACCCACGUCAAAACAAGGUCUCGCAAAAUAGAGCCGUGGUAGACGACCACGUCGAUAGGCCGGGUGUGUAAGGGCAGUAAUGUCUUCAGCUUACCGGUACUAAUAGCUU